RNAcentral lists this unclassified non-coding RNA (297 nucleotides) under Hevea brasiliensis (rubber tree). Lineage: Eukaryota; Viridiplantae; Streptophyta; Magnoliopsida; Malpighiales; Euphorbiaceae. The record is from RNAcentral.
CUAGGGAGGAGAGGGUUUUGCUUUUCGACGGAAUAGGCCAAGAGACCGGCGGAGCCGAGGUUGACGAUGACAGAACCAGGGUAGACGGAGCUAAAAUGGUGGGCCAGAAUUCCAUCUUUCAGAGCGUAAACGGAAUCGGACUCAGGGCUCUGCAGAGCGUCGGGACUUUUGGCCACCGAUUUGUCGAAGACGGCGAGCAUUUUGUAGAUCGUCGAUCGGAAAAUGAGAGAACUAAAAACACGGUUGGUUUCGUAUCUGAAUGCAAAUAGAGUACGGGUGAUGAAAGAUCGCUUGCGG